Molecule: ribosomal RNA, 253 nt
Filed under: uncultured bacterium
Lineage: Bacteria
Description: partial 16S ribosomal RNA
Rfam family: Bacterial small subunit ribosomal RNA
Source: RNAcentral
UACAGAGGGUGCGAGCGUUGUCCGGAAUCACUGGGCGUAAAGGGCGCGUAGGCGGCUUGAUAAGGUUGCGGUGAAAGCCCGGGGCUCAACCCCGGGUCGGCCGUGGCAACUGUCGAGCUGGAGCACUGUAGAGGCAGGUGGAAUUCCGCGUGUAGCAGUGAAAUGCGUAGAUAUGCGGAGGAACACCGAUGGCGAAGGCAGCCUUCUGGGCCAACACUGACGCUCAUGCACGAAAGCGUGGGGAGCAAACAGG